Molecule: long non-coding RNA, 241 nt
Filed under: Elaeis guineensis (African oil palm)
Lineage: Eukaryota; Viridiplantae; Streptophyta; Magnoliopsida; Arecales; Arecaceae
Description: long non-coding RNA (EGUI_LNC005626)
Source: RNAcentral
UGUGGAGUAUCAUCAUGAAAACCAGUGAAAUACAUGGAAAUCGAUGAAAUACAAGUAUUUCAUUGAAUUAUGAUAAAUUUGACAUGAUAUCACCGUUACAACAAAGUAUUUUGCCUCUGGAAGUGAGAGAAAAACACAAAAGCUUCAACUAAUCACCCGGUGGAGAAAGGUCUUCCCCAACAAUGCCAAUCAAACCAAUUAAGACCUAAUGCUAGAAAGGGACCCGGGUCCUCUUUUGGCA